CAUCUAAGCACGAAGCCCCCCUCAAGAUGAGAUUUCCCAUUACGCAAGUAAGUAAGAUCCCUCAAAGACGAUGAGGUAGAUAGGUUCGGGGUGGAAGCGUGGCGACACGUGCAGCUGACGAAUACUAAUCGAUCGAGGACUUAACCA
RNAcentral lists this ribosomal RNA (147 nucleotides) under Paenisporosarcina quisquiliarum. RNAcentral's name for it is "partial 23S rRNA. Bacterial LSU". It matches the Rfam family "Bacterial large subunit ribosomal RNA", at positions 2778 to 2925 of the family's 2925-position model. The record is from RNAcentral. Lineage: Bacteria; Bacillati; Bacillota; Bacilli; Caryophanales; Caryophanaceae.